RNAcentral lists this ribosomal RNA (401 nucleotides) under uncultured bacterium. Its description in RNAcentral is "bacterial SSU rRNA". It matches the Rfam family "Bacterial small subunit ribosomal RNA", at positions 356 to 773 of the family's 1533-position model. The record is from RNAcentral.
GGGGAAUAUUGCACAAUGGGGGAAACCCUGAUGCAGCAACGCCGCGUGGAGGAAGAAGGUCUUCGGAUUGUAAACUCCUGUCUUCUGGGACGAAUAAUGACGGUACCAGAGGAGGAAGCCACGGCUAACUACGUGCCAGCAGCCGCGGUAAUACGUAGGUGGCGAGCGUUGUCCGGAAUUACUGGGCGUAAAGGGCGCGUAGGCGGCCUGUUAAGUCAGAUGUGAAAACCCCGGGCUCAACCUGGGGACUGCAUUUGAAACUGAUGGGCUAGAGUGUCGGAGAGGGAAGCGGAAUUCCUAGUGUAGCGGUGAAAUGCGUAGAUAUUAGGAGGAACACCAGUGGCGAAGGCGGCUUUCUGGACGAUAACUGACGCUGAGGCGCGAAAGCGUGGGGAGCAAAC